Vicia faba (fava bean) is the source of this 777-nucleotide non-coding RNA. The record is from the annotation of a GenBank genome assembly. Lineage: Eukaryota; Viridiplantae; Streptophyta; Magnoliopsida; Fabales; Fabaceae.
AUGGAAGAAAAAAAUGGAAGAAAAAGCGAGGGUGAAAACCUAAAACGAAAGAAGAAGAACAAAAAGCAUAAUCAAGUUUUCCAAUACGGAAACUACAAGAGUUACUACAACUACCGAAUUAGUGAAGGUGUUGAUGAAGAUCCUCGCUUGAAAGUUUUCAAGAAAGAGUGGUUUCAAGGGAAGGAUUGUCUUGAUAUUGGUUGCAACAGUGGGAUUAUCACCAUACAUAUUGCACUCAAAUUUAGCUGCCGGAGCAUUCUUGGAGUUGACAUUGAUUCUGAUCGAGUGUGUGAUGCAAAUUGGAAUUUGAGAAAAACUGCUAGAUUGAAAUCUGCCGGGAAUAAACCUUCCAAGGUCUCCAAACUCAACGACAACAGCCACACCGACCACUUAAAGAACAGUGUUACUCCGUCAUCACAUGUUGAAACGAAAGACAUUUCAAACGAGGCUUCUUCUUUGGAGCAAGUUGAUCUUUUCAAUAUUGUUUCUUUUCAAUGUGAAAAUUUUGUUCAGAGUCCGCACCCACCAGGAAAGCAAUAUGAUACUAUUCUUUGUCUGAGUGUAGCAAAAUGGAUUCAUCUAAAUUGGGGGGAUGAUGGCUUAAUCACAUUAUUUGCAGAGACUUGGAAGCUGCUCCGACCUGGUGGCUUUUUUGUGUUAGAACCUCAGCCAUGGAAGUCAUAUGAAAGCAAUCGUUAUGUCACAGAGAAUACUUCUGCCAACUUCCGUAAUAUUAAGAUUCGACCAGAAGAGUUUCAGGAAAUACUGCUAGAUAAG